Molecule: non-coding RNA, 3318 nt
Organism: Aegilops tauschii subsp. strangulata
Lineage: Eukaryota; Viridiplantae; Streptophyta; Magnoliopsida; Poales; Poaceae
Source: RefSeq, a predicted model, not a curated record
CGCACAACUUCCCCUCCUCUCACGUUCGCACGCAUCCCCAACCUCUCUCCUCUCCCGCUUGGCGCCUCACCUCCCCGGUGCCCCACUGCCUCCUCCCCUCAUCGUCGCCCUCCCUGGCGCCCGCAUCCCGCCCCUGGCAUGCCGUCCGCCCCGCACGCCGCCCCUCACUGUUGGCCCCGACGUCCUAUUGGAAACGAAAGAGGAACCGCCGCCGCAGCCCCGCCCCCGCCGCUGAGGCCUGAGGUUUGGCUCGUCCCCGCCCCGCUGCCGGAGACGCAUCCCUCGAGCACCGCCCAAUAGCCAGAGCUCCGCGCGCGAGAGCCACAACGCCCUGGCCAGCCAGGGACGCGCUUCCCCGCCCCAGUCGCCCCCGGAAACGGACGCCUCGGCCGGCUGCGGGCGCCCUGGAUGGGCUGCGGGGUCGGUGCGGCGACCGCGUGGGAGGGGCCGUCGGGCCUAUAAAUACUCUACCGCCAGGUUCGAUCGACUUAGCUCCUGCUCAUGUCCAUUCCAUCAGAUUGCACACUUGACUUUUUAGUAGCUUCAACUAUACUUCACUAUUAAUCUGAAAUUAAGUGCAAAAAAUAUAUUCUGAUUCACCUUCAUAACACGAAGCUGGAACCAACUGAACAUUAUGUGAGCCGAUUUCAUCAUCAUGACUACCUGUAUAAUCUUGUAUGAUCCUUCAUCGCAAGCCAGGGAUUCCUACUACAAUGGCCAGCCUCUGAUUGUUGAUGACAUGGUUGAAAAAGUUAAUCAGGGGAGCAGGAAAUCUCCGUCCCCGCAUAUGAGCUACCGCCAGCAUCCGCAACGCCUGGUCUGCAUAGCGACUCGCUGCCCCGCCCUGUCCAACCACGUCGUGCCUCUUGCCGUCGGUUGACACACCCUCGUUGUUACCUCCAGCUAUUUUCCCACCUAUAUUACUUGCAACAUUAGGGACUGCUAUAGUGAUUGCUCAAUUGGAUCUGCACAAUCCAACAAAAGAAAUAUGCAAAGUGUUAGCAUCUGCACAAUCCAACAAAUAAUAUCUCAGGCUGCUCCGUUCAGAUGACAGAUGAGCAGCACUGAAUAGCAUCAAAGCAACUAAAUGCAUCUUCUGAGAAGAAAUGACUCCGUGAUAGAGAAUGAUACUCAAUGAUGACAGCUGAACAAAGGGAUGCGUACUUGCACAAUAACCGUGAGUAUAAGAAGUCCAAACACAAGGGCAGUGAUCACUUUUUAGCACUUGAGGGGUCCAGUAGAGGUAUUUCUACUUUCUUGCCCUCAAAAGAAAACAAUGGAAAAGCAUGCUGCUUAUUCACUUUCUUUCUAUAGAUUAACACAUUAUAACAAAUUAACAAUAUCACCAUGCUGAAUAUUUGUUAGUUCCAAUAUUUUAAAUUCAGUUGACCUCAUGAAUUCAGAUUCUUGAGGUUUGUCUCUUCAAGUUGUGAUUGACUGGAAAUCGGGUGUAACAAAGAAAAGGACUGCAAUUGUGCUCCUAUUGCUUAAUAUACCGAGUGAAAGUAAAUACAACGACCUACAAUAUAGAGCUUAUGUGCUUUGCAUGAAACUGAAUGCAUGGCACUGAACAUACCUCUAAUCUCUUAUGUUAUAUAAGUAAGCACAUGAUUGGGAGGAUUGAUAUCCAUCUUGGUUAAUAAAUAAAUAAAUUUUGGCAACAUAAUUUGGGAGAUGCCUAUCUUUUGCAGCAUGGAAGUCGGAUAGUCAACAUGUUCUAGAUCAACAAGACCCUGAGCACGUCUUGACCCCUAACAGAAAAAUAGAGACAUCCCAAGUGAUAAUAGGAAAAGGUAGACUCGGCUCCUCCACUCAUGCUUCUUUGAAUCUCUACAAGCUAAGUUCAGUGCAUGGUUCUCUGAACUACAACCUAAAUUCAGUACAUGCUUCUCCGAAUGUUGGCCUGCCAAUUGAUAUUAUAUUGCAGUCUUCAGAGGAUUGUAUGCAGGUCAUUUAUGCCAAUGGCUUCCUGCUUUUUUAUGUUUUUUUGGACUAUUUGAAUGUAAGGACUAUACAUAAUAUCUUUGACCAUGUACGGCAAAUUAUUUUUUGCACAUAAAAUUCAAUGCAUGCUUCUCUGAAUAUCGGCAAUACAAGUAAGCAAAAUUUGUUCUUAUAUGUUGGCCUGCCAAUAUGUAUUGGCAGCCUUGCAUUCAUGUUUUUCACAUGCCUAAUCCAACUGCCACUUCUGUACUAAAUAAGGUUAUGUUUGAGUUAAAUAACUAAAUGUUGGUUUGCCCCAAGUUUUCUUGUGAUUGAAUUCUGGAACUUACAACAUUACAUAUGGGCAUGGAGUCAUUUUUGGCCAUUUAUGUAACAGUUCAUCACAGACUUUCUGUAGUCGAGAGUAUGUGUGCCUGUACGGGCACCUAAACCACAUUGAUAACUAUAUCCGUGUACCUAUGGUUUCUUUCUUCAGUUUGAUGGACUUAGCUAUCACAUGAGAAUAGAAUUAACAUGUGUAUCUUGUUAUUUGGGGAAUUAUGUUUGAGAUUUCAUUUUUAUCCUAGCACUGGAUUGAAGUUGCGGAUCAGGAAGCAUUUUUUUAUCCCAACAGUGGAUUGAGUACUUCUAAACAUAGUUAAAGAGUAAGGUUGAAGUGUUGGCACGAAGAAACAUAAUAGGAAUUUUAUGAAUAUUGUGCCUUACUGUCAAGAUGAAUAACAGUCGACUCAGGUAGUGUGUGAUUAUGUUUCUCCUAAAGCUAGCUGACCAACAUCUGAACGACUCUGACUGCUGCGUACAAAGUCCAGCUAUAAGGAUCUAAAACAUUGUGUGGAAUUCCGAAAGGUCUUUUCCUAUACUGCAAGACCCUGUUUGGAACAUGAUGAUUUCGUGAAUCAACAACAACACUGUUUCCAGUGACUUUCAACAACUACAUCGUUUCCAGUGAAAUUCAGCAACAACUACAUUGUUUCCUAUCAUCUAGGAAUAUAAAGGCUUUGAUUUUUUUCCCAGUAUAGUUUAGAUUUUCAGGGAACACUUCAACCAAGACAUCGAAGAAGCAAAGAACUUGAUUACAAGGUUCAGGGAGCUCCUAUGCUUUUUGCGAGCAAAGAUGACUUUCAUGCUAGAUUUUCUUUCAAGAUAACAAUAAAGCCUAGGAGCAUCCCUGUCCAUGGAACAAUACUGGAGUGAUAUAGUGCAACGGUCUUGCAUUUCUCAAUGCCUCUAUCUUUAUUUUCAUUGUUAUCGUAAUUCAGUGUGGUAUUUAGAAAUUUAGAAUCCUUGUGCUAUGAUGUUGUGUAUUUUGCAACCCAAUAUACUCUCUUGUUAACUGAAUGUGAUCGUAAUAAUUCAUUUUUAAUCAUUGGUUUA